GACCUGAGCUGAAGUCGGGCGCUCAACCAACUGAGCCACCCAGGUCUUUGGCUCCAAUCCAACUGAGGAUUAGAAUGGCCACUCAGGAGUCACCAGGGAAUAAUGUCAAAAAAAAAAAGCGUAUUUACAAAAUCCUCCCAUAGAAGAAUAAAAAGCCGUAUGUGACCAAAUGGAUGCCAUAUAGGACAGAAGCUUAUCUUUGAUUCUAAGAUGAGAAGGUCUAAGGGGGGCCUGGGACUUGGAGUAAAAGGACUCCAGAGCUGUGGGUCGGGUCACAGAAGACUCAAAGAAGUUUCCUCAAGAGGAAAUACUCACGGAU
Molecule: long non-coding RNA, 319 nt
Organism: Lynx canadensis (Canada lynx)
Lineage: Eukaryota; Metazoa; Chordata; Mammalia; Carnivora; Felidae
Exons: 3
Source: RefSeq, a predicted model, not a curated record